CCCCCCCACCCAUUUAAAUCCACUCCUCUCGCACUCUCCACUUAAACACACCGUCCUCCUCAAGCCCGCCAGCCCGUCCCAACCCGGCCCCUGGAGGAGAGGAAACGUCGGUAGCACGAGCUCCGCACCGCGGCCCCAUCACUGCUGCCUCUCGCUUACACGGUAACAUGGUCUGCAGGGCUCGGCUGCUGUAGCCAAGGGCCACGUAGUCACCCAGCAAGGUAGCCAGUCAGCCAGUUUAUGUGUGUGAGCAGUAAGAAGCCGAAGCAGUAGGAAGAAGACGGAGAGGCUACCGGAGGAAGCGCCGGAGGAAGCGUCCAGAGCAAGCCCAGCAUCCCUGCAUCUCUACGCAGCUGUCCCGCACAGCGGCCCCGCUGAACCGGAGCACGGCCCCGCUCCCCCCCACAGACACUACUUCGGCUUUAUCGGGUGGGAAAAGCAGCCCGGCCAUUACGCUAGUCACUGUCGUUGUCAAGGAAACAAAGAGUCCUGUCCCGUUGCCAUGGGGAAACAGAACAGCAAGCUGCGGCCAGAGAUGCUGCAGGACCUCCGGGAGAAUACCGAGUUCUCCGACCACGAGCUGCAGGAGUGGUACAAGGGUUUCUUGAAGGAUUGUCCAAGUGGAACCCUGAACGUGGAGGAGUUCAAGAAAAUCUACGCCAAUUUCUUCCCCUACGGUGACGCUUCCAAGUUCGCUGAGCACGUCUUCCGAACGUUCGACACCAACGCCGACGGGACGAUAGACUUCCGGGAGUUCAUCAUCGCCCUGAGCGUGACGUCACGGGGCAAACUGGAGCAGAAGCUGAAAUGGGCCUUCAGCAUGUACGACCUGGACGGAAACGGGUACAUCAGCCGCGACGAGAUGCUGGAGAUUGUACAGGCCAUCUACAAGAUGGUGUCGUCAGUGAUGAAGAUGCCCGAGGAUGAAUCCACGCCAGAGAAGAGGACGGACAAGAUCUUCAGACAAAUGGACCUCAAUAAUGAUGGCAAGUUGUCCCUGGAGGAGUUUAUCAAAGGUGCCAAAAGCGACCCGUCCAUCGUGCGGCUACUCCAGUGCGACCCCAGCUCGGCCUCCCAGUUCUGAACCCCUUGACCCCGCUCCCCAACCUCCGCCCCACCCCGCCCCCCCGCCCCCGCUGCAACCAGUUCACUGAAAUCAAUGCAUGAUGGUCCCCCGUUUCUCCUAUCUCUUUUUCUUUUCUUUUUCGUUGUCGUGUGCGAUGAUGGAGGAGGGAAGGAGGAUGGAGGAUAAGAAAAGCCAUCACUCAUCAUUUUACUUUCCUUUUUUUACAUUUGGGAAAACUGAAAGGACAUGCAUACAUUUUAAUGAUCAGUCAACAGUGGCGUCCGCUAAUGUCCCCGCAUAGCGCUCUCUCUCUCUCUCUCUCUCUCUCUCUCUCUCUCUGGAUGGACAGACAUUCCGGGGAGCUGCAUGGGGAUUGGUCAGUUUGUCCUCCAACACACAUGUACAUCCUGUAUAUAUAAUGUACGUCUAUGUAUAUCAUCAGAUGAACUCUGUCUUCAUGCAUGGUGCCCACUCUCUGGCAUUGAAAUGCAGUAUUAUGUAGCGUAGCUAGAGGUUUAUGGGUGGGAGUUUUGUUUUGUUUUCUUUUUUAUGGGGGGUGUCUAAAAAAGGCCUAAGAUCUCAUUUGCUUUUUACUGCUAUAUACUGGCAUUGUGUAGAUUCACACAUUUCAAAUGUUUGUUAUUUUUUCAUUUGUACAUAUGGUUGUCUUCCUCCAUGUUUCAUUUAUUUAUUAAUUUUUAGUCUUAUUAUUGUGCUUAUACUUUGACAUGUCGUUAAAGAUGACCGUGUGCCAGUUUACAGUGACAGAGGGAGAGAGAGAGAGAGAGAAGAUGGGGAUCCCGUAAAGAGUUCGAUCAACGACACCAGUAGCACGUCUUGUUUGAGCCGCCAUGUGUUGAUAAAGCAUGGCAGUGUGUGUGUGUGUGCAUGCGUGCGUGCGCGUGUGUGUGUGUAUAUGCACUGUGUGCUCGGGGCUAACUUUUACAGUAUUAUUAUCAUGUACUAUUAUCACAUGUUGUUUCUUAAUUUGUAAGUAUUUUGAAGUUCUUUAAAAUGCUUAUAUUGUGCUUUUUUGGCUUUUCACUUUCCUUUAUUGUGUUAUAUAUAUCUUUUUUGUGCAUGUU
RNA transcript from Etheostoma cragini (Arkansas darter), 2151 nucleotides. It is a transcript of the gene named hippocalcin-like protein 1, with no coding region annotated. Lineage: Eukaryota; Metazoa; Chordata; Actinopteri; Perciformes; Percidae. The transcript is spliced from 6 exons. The record is from RefSeq and is a predicted model, not a curated record.